ACGCAACAGAGAUGGAAACGGAGCCGACCGACUUCUGCGCUGGCCUCUCCCAAGCCGUUCCAUAAUUAUCCAGCCCCCUCCUUCCCCUCCUCUGCUCCCCUCCGCACGCCGAUCCGCGAAUCCUCCCCGGAGCCGCCGCCAUGCCCCCUCACGCCGAAUUGCCGUGCGCUCCAAUUUUGCCUCGCCUGGUGCACCCCCGCCGGAAUCAGAUUUUGCCGUGCCCGGCCCUUGAGCGUUCCCCCGGCGCCUACCUUGGCGGGGCUGAUGAUCCAUAAAGCUGCGAUUUUUACACAUGGAUGAUUCGGAUGGCAGGCAUAGGGAAUUGACGGCUGAUGCGAGCAUGAAUGAAUCGCAAAAGAACAUGAAUGAAUCGUACGGAGUAGCCAUGCCAUAUUGGUUAUUGCAUAUUUCUGAAGACGUGUGGUUGAUUUCCCUGGGGGUUUUCUGUCUGUCACCCUAGAUGAAGCCAGGAGGGCAUCUAACUGACGGUACCUGUUCCUGCCCUCAGCCUCUGCAUAUAUGAAAAUAAGCGACUUUCUAUUCAUUCAGAUGUUCCAAAACAUUGUUCCUGCAGAGGGCUCUGCGUGGAACGGUGAAGUAGGGGCUGUGGCUGUGCAAGCAGCUCUGAGAAGCAAAUCUAUAAUGAAGAUCCUGCACAGGGAAUGAGUUGUCAUUUAGUACCAAGACUGGUUGGUUUACCCUCUGAAGCAUCGAUACGUCUAAGAACUGCCGUUUCCCCCUUCAGGACAUGGCUCCUACGGUGACACGCAGGAUACGGCAGCGAUAUGCGUAUCUUAGGGGGUAUCACGUUUUUUGAUUUAAAGAAAAAAAAACGAUUAGCCACUUGGGACCUGUCAACACACAGCAGCCCAAGCCUAAUAGAAGCCCGCUUCUAACCUGCAUGUUCUCUCUCUAUUCGUUCUAUUGACCAGACCAGGGCAGCGAAUUGGAAUGAGGGCACCUCGAGUCACCUUCGGCAAGGGAGUGAGUCAAGUGACAUAUUGACAUAUGGACAUUCAAUUACGGGGAUUGAGGAAAUUAACGAUCAUUCGACUUGAAAAGAGGCAUGAGGGCAACAAAAGUUGCAGUAUUUUGAUCCCAUUUCAUCUCAAGCAUACAUCUUUCUAGGUAUUGGACAUGCGAUGGCAACAUCGUGUUAUGUCAAAUAAACAUUUGAGUUGGACUCCAGCUUUUUGUCUCCAAACAAAUCACAGAAGAACAAGACAUGAACAUCAAGUAGGAGGUUCAUGAAGAAAGCUCUUUGGCACCCCAGACCGCACAUCCAACUGAAUCUUGAGACCUGUUGAUUUCCUGACAGGAUCUUUCAGAGAAAAGGCUGUUUAGCACACACAGUGUGUUUCUGAUAUUUGUUAUAUUCCGUUUACUACCCAGAGAUCCAAAAAAUCAACUCUACUGGGUUAAACUGAAGGAGAAAAAAAUGUUCUGGACACCCUAAAUUUGUUCUACUUUUUACUGCA
Molecule: long non-coding RNA, 1478 nt
Organism: Triticum dicoccoides
Lineage: Eukaryota; Viridiplantae; Streptophyta; Magnoliopsida; Poales; Poaceae
Exons: 6
Source: RefSeq, a predicted model, not a curated record